ACAUGCAGUCGAGCGGAUGACGGGAGCUUGCUCCUUGAUUCAGCGGCGGACGGGUGAGCAAUGCCUAGGAAUCUGCCUGGUAGUGGGGGACAACGUUUCGAAAGGAACGCUAAUACCGCAUACGUCCUACGGGAGAAAGCAGGGGACCUUCGGGCCUUGCGCUAUCAGAUGAGCCUAGGUCGGAUUAGCUAGUUGGUGGGGUAAUGGCUCACCAAGGCGACGAUCCGUAACUGGUCUGAGAGGAUGAUCAGUCACACUGGAACUGAGACACGGUCCAGACUCCUACGGGAGGCAGCAGUGGGGAAUAUUGGACAAUGGGCGAAAGCCUGAUCCAGCCAUGCCGCGUGUGUGAAGAAGGUCUUCGGAUUGUAAAGCACUUUAAGUUGGGAGGAAGGGCAGUAAGUUAAUACCUUGCUGUUUUGACGUUACCGACAGAAUAAGCACCGGCUAACUCUGUGCCAGCAGCCGCGGUAAUACAGAGGGUGCAAGCGUUAAUCGGAAUUACUGGGCGUAAAGCGCGCGUAGGUGGUUUGUUAAGUUGGAUGUGAAAGCCCCGGGCUCAACCUGGGAACUGCAUCCAAACUGGCAAGCUAGAGUACGGUA
This 603-nucleotide ribosomal RNA is filed under the name bacterium amp-w-53. RNAcentral's name for it is "bacterial SSU rRNA". It matches the Rfam family "Bacterial small subunit ribosomal RNA", at positions 53 to 653 of the family's 1533-position model. The record is from RNAcentral.